RNAcentral lists this ribosomal RNA (482 nucleotides) under uncultured bacterium. RNAcentral's name for it is "partial 16S ribosomal RNA". It matches the Rfam family "Bacterial small subunit ribosomal RNA", at positions 30 to 507 of the family's 1533-position model. The record is from RNAcentral.
AUUGAACGCUGGCGGCAUGCCUUACACAUGCAAGUCGAACGGUAACAGGUCUUCGGAUGCUGACGAGUGGCGCACGGGUGAGUAAUACAUCGGAACGUGCCCAGACGUGGGGGAUAACGAGGCGAAAGCUUUGCUAAUACCGCAUACGAUCUAAGGAUGACAGCAGGGGACCGCAAGGCCUUGCGCGUUUGGAGCGGCCGAUGGCAGAUUAGGUAGUUGGUGGGAUAAAAGCUUACCAAGCCGACGAUCUGUAGCUGGUCUGAGAGGACGACCAGCCACACUGGGACUGAGACACGGCCCAGACUCCUACGGGAGGCAGCAGUGGGGAAUUUUGGACAAUGGGCGAAAGCCUGAUCCAGCAAUGCCGCGUGCAGGAUGAAGGCCUUCGGGUUGUAAACUGCUUUUGUACGGAACGAAAAGGCUCUGGCUAAUACCUGGGGCACAUGACGGUACCGUAAGAAUAAGCACCGGCUAACUACGUG